This 253-nucleotide ribosomal RNA is filed under the name uncultured bacterium. RNAcentral's name for it is "partial 16S ribosomal RNA". It matches the Rfam family "Bacterial small subunit ribosomal RNA", at positions 524 to 776 of the family's 1533-position model. The record is from RNAcentral.
CACGUAGGGCGCAAGCGUUGUCCGGAAUUAUUGGGCGUAAAGAGCUCGUAGGCGGUCUGUUGCGUCCGCUGUGAAAACUCGGGGCUUAACCCCGAGCCUGCAGUGGAUACGGGCAGACUAGAGGUAGGUAGGGGAGAAUGGAAUUCCCGGUGUAGCGGUGAAAUGCGCAGAUAUCGGGAGGAACACCGGUGGCGAAGGCGGUUCACUGGGCCUUACCUGACGCUGAGGAGCGAAAGCGUGGGGAGCGAACAGG